CCAAUAGCGUAUAUUAAAGUUGUUGCAGUUAAAAAGCUCGUAGUUGAAUUUCAGAAUCAGUACGCCGGUCGUGCCUCCGGUAUGUACUGGUGUCACUGGUUCCUCCCUUCUGAAGAACCAUCAUGCCAUUCACUUGGUGUGGUGGGGAAUCAGGACUGUUACUUUGAAAAAAUUAGAGUGUUUAAAGCAGGCUCACGCUUGAAUACAUUAGCAUGGAAUAAUGAAAUAGGACGUUGAUCUUAUUUUGUUGGUUUCUAGGAUUGACGUAAUGAUUAAUAGGGAUAGUUGGGGGCAUUAGUAUUCAAUUGUCAGAGGUGAAAUUCUUGGAUUUAUUGAAGACUAACUACUGCGAAAGCAUUUGCCAAGGAUGUUCUCAUUAAUCAAGAACGAAAGUUAGGGGAUCGAAGACGAUCAGAUACCGUCGUAGUCUUAACCAUAAACUAUGCCGACUAGGGAUCGGAUGAUGUUAAUUUUUUAAUGACUCAUUCGGCGCCUUACG
RNAcentral lists this ribosomal RNA (499 nucleotides) under uncultured Glomeromycotina. RNAcentral's name for it is "partial small subunit ribosomal RNA". It matches the Rfam family "Eukaryotic small subunit ribosomal RNA", at positions 591 to 1092 of the family's 1831-position model. The record is from RNAcentral. Lineage: Eukaryota; Fungi; Glomeromycota.